GCAAGGCUCGGGUGUGUGGCUGGCGAGGCGGAGCUGUCGGUUUCUUUGCGGCCUUACCGAUGCCUGCCCCGUGAGGAGCUAUUGAUGCUGGGCGGUGCUGGUCCCUCCUCACCUACUGGGUGAAAGGCAGCUGUGGCAGGGACUUGAAUCGCUAUGCCCAGUUCGCCUGGGGUGGUUAUUUUCCCCCUUUCUUUCGGUAGAGUCACAUCUUGGGUCCCGUGCAUGGUUCUGGGCCUUUAAUUUCAGGAGCGACUUGGAAGGGCUGGAGUGGGCCCAGAGAAGGGCAGCGAAGCUGAUGAGGGGUCUGGAACACGAGUCCUUUGAGGAGCAGCUGAGGGUGUUUAGCCUGCAGGAAAGGAGGCUAAAGGAUGGCUUUGCCACUCUGCACAGCUCCCUGACAGAAAGUUAUAGCCAGGUGGGGAAUCGGCCUCUGCUGCCUGGUAACUAGUGAUGGGGUGAGAGGAUGUAGUCUUAAAUUGUUCUAUGUUGGACAUUAGGAAAAACUUCUAUACAGCAGGCGUGAUCAGACACUGGAAUGGGCUGUCCAGGGAAGUGUGGAGUCACUGUCCCUGGAGGUGUUCAAGGAAAGGCUGACUGUGGCACUCAGUGCCCUGGUCUGGCUGACAUCAGGGAGUUUGGUCAUAGGUUGGAUUUAAUUAACUCAGCCCUUGUACAACCUGCUUGAGUCAGGUAAGAGAGGGCAGUGGUACCAAAGUGUCAAAUAAAAAGUUUCUCUAUGGGCCUGUUCUAGUACAGCAGAUGAGCUCUGCUACUAGCAGGCACUGUGCUGUGCUGUUGGGGCUGGAGAAAGCUGAAGGGCUCACAGGCAGCACAAGGCAGGGGCUGGAAGGGUUUGGAGUCACUGACAGCAUCUCCUGAACAUGUGUGUGGUGAGCUUAGUGGCAAGGAUUGUCCUCAUCCCAGGAUGCAGAGCCCUGUGGUUGAUGCACUGGAGGAAGGGUACUACUUCAUCAUUGUUUCCUUCCUUGCCCACCUGAGAAGGUUCAACAUUUCUAACUAGCCUCAGGGGACCUGGGGGGCCAUCACUGCAAAGGGAAUGUGUGCAAGGAGAGGGUUGAUGACAAACAGCUUCUGCUGUCUCUCAGGGUUCCCUUGUGAACAGGCACAGCAGCCUUUAGCUGGCACUUGGGAAUGGCCUGUUUAACCUGGGCACUGUAAGAGAAACUGGUGCUGUGCUGGUUCUGAUGCAUGAUCAGUGUUUCUCCCCAUUCCCUCAUUUGACAGCAUUUGCAUUUCCAGCUAACUUUAGCCUGACCUUUUCAUGGACUACUCUGGUGCCUGUAGAGGAAGGGUUCUGCUUAGCCCCUCUCAGUAAGCAAAUCCCUGAGACUGGCUUGUUCUGUAAAGCAUUGCAAGGAAGGUGACUUUUUCUUAUCAAGCAGACAUUUGAUCCUACCUGGUAAAUGGUUUGUAUAGCUUGGUACCAGUUCUUGAUGGAUGACUGACAGUGUGCACAAUCAGAGGCCCAUGAUAGUUUAUUCUGUGGCUGACCAGUACACCUUCACCUCUGAUGCUGAGACAGAGGUUCAUUUGCCUGAAGUCCAUAGGGAAAUGACCUGUGGUUUGGACACCGGGUUGGUUGGGCUUGAACCAGAAGUCAGUUAUUUCUAGGCCAUAGGUUCUUUUCAUAAUUGUUUUUUAUUACUGUUUGAUAGAGAUCCUUGUCACCUACUGUUUCUUUUUCAUGAUCCAUUGGGGAAUUUGGCCUUUGUGUACAAAACACUGUCAGGUGUUUUGAUCACUGUCUGUGCUUCUCCUAGUAGUAGCUUGUAGCCCAAAGGAGAGUACUCACUGAAUUUGGAUGGGUCUGUGGCCUCAGGUCCUUCUCUGUCAGGUGGGCACUGUUCGGGCAUGAUGUUAAUGAAUGUACUUCAGGAGCUGACUGUUACCAAUUUGGUGAGUAGGCAGCUUUUAGUGGAUUCAAAACUGAUAUUAAUCAAGGUAGCCAACAAGCUCUACUGCCAGCAAUGACAAUCCUCAGUCUAUCUGUAAACCACAGCUUCCAAAGGUAUCUAUAGUAUGAACUUGCCACCUUCUCUUGUCUUGUGUGUAUUAUUGUUCAAACAGUCUUCAUCCUGGCAUUCAUGAUGGCCAAAACCCCAAUAAGUUUUCUGCAUCCAGGGUGAGGAGGUGCUGCGGAAGUACAGCUCUUCUCACGUAACAUGUGGGGACUUUGUUUAUGAGUUAAAGCAAUGUAUUCUGAAAUGAUUAGUUUGGUCAUAAACAUAAGCCCUUCCCUCUCUCCUUUCCUUUCAAUUUAUUUUUUGCCAAGAUAAGGGCCCAUACAGGGGAAAAAAUUGUUUAUUAACUGAAUGCUAUGAGCAGCUAAAACACCUCAUAAUAUCUUUUGCAGAGAUUUUUAUUGCAGAGAUACCUUUUGCAAUCAAUUCCACUUAAGUCAGACAGUCUUUCAACUGUAUUUACAGCUGUCAGGAAAAAAAAACCAAACCAUGAACUGAGAAGAAAUAAUAGGAAGCAGUAGCUGGUGGUAGUUUGCAGCUGGGCCCACGGGUGUUUGACAUGUUACUGUCAUGACAGCCCUGAUGGAAGGGAGAAUUCCUGUUGUGACAAACAAUGUUCGCUUUUAAAAAUUUUAAUGGCUUAUUAAAAACCUUAACGAAGGACCGAAUAAGGAAAAAAAACCAGCGCGCUUGAAAUUAGUGACAGCAGCCACAAGCUCAUUUACAAAAUGGCUGCUCCACCUUUUAUAGUCCUGGGGGGCGCCUCGGGCAGCCCUGGCCCCUCCCAGUGCCUGUCAGUCAACUCUUCCUCGCCGCUCAUUGGUGGAGGCUACUUUCUUGCAAUGUGAUUGGUGGCCAGGUGUUGCUGUGCCACGCCCCCGUGCCGGCCUUGCCCAGCCCAGUUGCCCCAGCCUCGGGCCCGCGUGCGCGCGCUCCCUCACGGUCCCGGCUACCAAAGCUCGCCCUGAGCAACCCUGCGGGGAAAAGGGACUGUGGGGAGAACAGGGGACAUCCAAACAACAAAUCACAAUAAUGUAACCGUACAUCAAUAAAGCUGCUCUUAACAUACGCACAGUAUUCAUCCCUUAAUUGUGGGAGCCAACCAUCGCACUGCCCAUCUAUAACACUAUGCUCUGGAUAGGAUUUU
Molecule: long non-coding RNA, 3129 nt
Organism: Parus major (Great Tit)
Lineage: Eukaryota; Metazoa; Chordata; Aves; Passeriformes; Paridae
Exons: 2
Source: RefSeq, a predicted model, not a curated record